GUGAUCUUCCCCAAGAAUCCACAUCGACAGGAAGGUUUAGCACCUGGAUGUCGGCUCUUCGCCACCUAGAGUUGUAGGUGGUUCCAAGGGGUGGAUUAUUUGCCCACUAAUGCGGUACGUGAGCUAUGUUCAGAACGUCAUGGGACAGUUC
Molecule: non-coding RNA, 151 nt
Filed under: Dichanthelium oligosanthes
Lineage: Eukaryota; Viridiplantae; Streptophyta; Magnoliopsida; Poales; Poaceae
Description: Bacterial large subunit ribosomal RNA
Rfam family: Bacterial large subunit ribosomal RNA
Source: Rfam by way of RNAcentral